GCGUGUGUGAAGAAGGUCUUCGGAUCGUAAAGCACUUUCGACAGGGACGAUGAUGACGGUACCUGUAGAAGAAGCCCCGGCUAACUUCGUGCCAGCAGCCGCGGUAAUACGAAGGGGGCUAGCGUUGUUCGGAAUUACUGGGCGUAAAGCGCACGCAGGCGGUCUGCUCAGUCAGGAGUGAAAGCCCCGGGCUCAACCUGGGGAUAGCUCUUGAUACUGGCAGGCUUGAAUCACGGAGAGGGUAGUGGAAUUCCGAGUGUAGAGGUGAAAUUCGU
This 275-nucleotide ribosomal RNA is filed under the name uncultured bacterium. RNAcentral describes it as "partial 16S ribosomal RNA". It matches the Rfam family "Bacterial small subunit ribosomal RNA", at positions 399 to 691 of the family's 1533-position model. The record is from RNAcentral.